RNAcentral lists this small RNA (31 nucleotides) under Bombyx mori (domestic silkworm). RNAcentral describes it as "ovarian small RNA-12490". Lineage: Eukaryota; Metazoa; Arthropoda; Insecta; Lepidoptera; Bombycidae. The record is from RNAcentral.
AUCGCAGAAGAGUACGUGAUGUCAUCACCCA